AAAAUAUUUGGGGGAGGGGGAUGGCAGUGAGGAUAACUAUGACAAUAAGUGUAUUGUUAGAUUAUAAGCACUUUAAAGCAAGGUCUAUCUUGUUUUGUAAAAAAGAAGCACUUCCUGUUGCCCCUCCGGUGAGCAGUAAACAGGUCCUCAGUAUCUCUUGCUUACUUUCUGUUGCAUCAGGUCAAACACAAGAAUUACCCAGGAGAUCUAUUUAAUGCCUUAGUCCCCAUUACAUUCCUUUGGUUCUCCUUUACCAAUAGAAUUAUUCUUUUAGAAUUUUGGAAUGAAAAGCAUGCAAAAUAGUGUCUUCAUAUUGCUUAAAUGCUUUCCACCCAUGCCACUCAUUUCUAAUUUUUCAUGGCCUUAAACCACCAUCUGCUGGAAGGGUGGGAAGGACACUUGCAAGGUCGUCGUGUCUUGCCCUCCAGCCUCAGGCCUGGCUGCACUGAGCCUCCAAAUGAGAAGCGUUGUUGUCUUUUUCUGAAAGGUUUUCAGAGUUUCUUCUCAUCCUUGGAGGUUUCAUCUUCGGGCCAGGCCUAGUUCCUCCCUCCAAGGCCUGUAUUCCCAGUUGAUGGGCCAGGAGCCUUCAUUCAUACCAAACAUUCUGGAAAGUUUGUACCAUGAUAGUCAUUUUGUGUCUUUGACCAACUUUGCCUUCUUUUCCUUUAUAAAUCGUUUAAACACUUCAAGUCCAAAUCCUAACACAGGGGACAGCUUGUGAUUAACCUCUCUCCACUUCAAGAAGUAGUCAGCGUCAGUGAGUCUUCCUUCUAAAAUAGCUUAACCAGUUUUUAAUACACCAGAAAGACUUUGCCCAUAGCCCUCUGGUCAUCUAUUUUCCUUAAUAGCCUUUUAUGAGGGACCUUAUCAAAAGCUUGCAAAGAAAUCCAAGUAAAUUAUGUUCCUUGGUUCACCUUUACCUACUAUUUCAUUAACUUUUUCAAAAACAAUAUGACAUAGUUUUCAACAUAAUUAAAGGGGUUGGGGAAAAAAGGGAACUUUAACUACUGCUUGACAGUUUCCGGAGUUGCUUAGGAGAGCGGGUCACUGCUCACAUUCUGCUUCUGCUUAAGGACACUAAUUCAUUUCCCAGGCUGUCUGGCGAGGUCAGCCACUAGUUCAAGGUGGAAAUGACAAGUUUUUAGGCUUUCAAGUGUGCAGUACUCAGCUCUCCAGAGAGCACGAAGGAAGGAAACCACAAGUUUAUCCAGGUCUGGCCCAGAGAAAAAGGAAAUGCUGGGAAGAACCAAGACAGGGCAGAGGGCCGUGUUUCUGUGGAGGGGGGUUGCCCACAAGAGUCUCAGACACUCCCAAACAACACUUUAUUUUUCAUAUGAGAAGAGGAGGGGCUGAUCAUAGAAUCUGGGGAAACUUUCAGCCAUCCAGGGGAGGUAUGUCGGGCCAGAAUGCAAGAGUGGGCAGAGGCUGGUGGAAUCAGAAAGAAAGAGCUAGAAAUUAAAUAACUUCACACAACCAGUAGUAGCAGCAUUAAAAGGACGAUAAUAACGUAGUAAUAAUCGAAGUUACAUUGUUUGAGUGUCUCCUAUGUGCAAUCGGUGCUAGAUGUGUGCAUGUGCCUAUCUCGUUUAAGCUUAAUAGCUGGGGAUGGUAGAUAUCAUUAUCUUCAUUUAUAAAUGAGAAAAACAAGGCACAGAGAGUAUAAAGGACCUGAAGGUCACACAGGUAAUAAAUUAUCCAAUUUGGGAGGCAACCUCUUCCUACUAAUUCUGAAGUACAUGGAUUUUCAUGAUGCUAGCUAGUUAACUUUUAGCCUAUUUAGUAGCAAAAUUCUCCCAUAGGUCAAAUUUUCUAGUUAACUAAAUGUCCUAACAUUCUAAAUAUGAAUUACUAGUUUUCAUAGAACAAGUAUCAUUACUCCCUGGUUUAAAAAAAGGCACACGUUAAUUUGUAUUAAUGAUUCACGAAAGCAUUUAAGGGUUACAGUCCUCAAAACAUCUGUAUGAGUCUCCAUUUUCACUGGUCCGAAAAUUUGGAAGUACUUGUUUACAAAGUACUCCGGCUGACAAAAUGCUAGUAAAAUUGGCUUUUAAUAUAGAAAGGAACUAGAGAGGAAAAACAGAAAAGCUUCCAUUUCCUUCUGGCUUACUUCUUGGUUUCCACUGGCUCAAUGCCUAUUUUUCCUUAUGUCCUGAGGAAUGGGCCAUUUUUAGUCUUUUCCACGACUUCAGAAAGCCCACCAUAAUUGUCCUGCCACAUGCUUCAUGCUCCACCAGAUGCGAUCCUUGCAUAUUAGAAAGCAUUUUUUAAGUGUCUUUUGAAGACCUGCCCCCUCUCCCCAGGUGCUCCUGCAGGCUGCUGUGUUCCCAGGAUCAUGACACCUUACCUGCUGGCUUAUGCAUGCUUCUUGUGAAGUGUCCAGUAUCUAAGGGAACAGGUAGGUACCCGAAGGCCCUUGGGCAGCCCAGCUAAUAGGCUCCCCAUUCUUGAUUUGUCAAGACAAUGGCCCUUCAGACCAGGAGCCUGAGAAGUUGAGGAACCAGAAAAGCAACUUGGGCUUUUCUUCAAAGAAUGAUUGUGCUAAUUGGAGAGGAUGCAAAUGUGGCAGCCAGAGAGAAAAAUAAAUCUUUCAAUCUAGCAUAAAAACUGGGAACCUGAGGGAGAAAUAACGAGUCUCCUGUCUUAGGAGUGUAGAUAGCCUGUGCUGCUGGUCCUCACUAAGGUCAAAUAGAGUCCAGGGUUGGCAGUCUUGAAGAGAUGUUUCAGUGUCCAUUUCCAGAGAACAGGAGGCAUCAGCCCUGUGUGUUCAUCGGGUGUGUGGUUGUUAGGCAGGUCUCUGUGUGACUUGCUGGGCAGAGGGGCAGAGACCCUGGGCCAUGCAGGGAAGCAGAAAGGGUCCUACCAAGGUCAUGCAGCUGCAUUGCAAUUCUGGCUCUGGUACCUUCUAGCUUUGGUGACCUUCGACAAGUAGACUUUGAUUUAUUAAUCAGAGUUUUGGUUUCCUCAUCUGUAACUAGGGAAUAAUGCCUGACUUAUUGGUGGUUUGAGGAAUAUGUAAGAUAGUUUAAGAUGGCACUAUGUAACAAAGUACCUGACAACACAUAGCAAAUGAUUUCUUUCCUAUGAAUUUCCGGCCUGUUACCUUUCUGGAUACAAAAUAUAGAUUCAUAGCACAACUACGUGUGAGAAUUUGUGUUUUCUAUAUUCUCUCCACUGAUGGUAAGAAAAUAACAUUUUGUAGAUAAAAAUGUAGUGACUAAAUUUUCCCCCCAAUUGGACCGAUGAUGUGAAAAAAUUUUUUUCAUAGUAAUAGAUGAAAAGCCUUACGAAGCCAUACAAUUUAGAUGACAUCACAUGCAUUUCUAUCCAUCCCGCAUUCUCCCAUUUAAAGCAGGGAUAGGGCCUCUGGGCAUUUUGACCCAGGACUUUACAUCAGUAAUACAGUCUGGGGUUAAAAAUCACAUGCACUACACUCAGCCGAGUUAAAAGCAUAGCACAUUUUAUGUUUUUGGUAUAAUUUCUCCUGUUGCUCUGAGCCCUCUGUCUCUCUCUUAUAGGGAAGUGGAGGGGAACUGGAUGAAAAUUAAACCUGGCAACUAAAAGCAACUCCUUCUCUUGUUGACAACAGCCUCUUUGGGGUAAACGCCCAGUUUCCUAGGCCUUCUCUUCCCUCUUCCCACCUGUCAGCUGGAUAGCGUGCCCUCACCGUGGUGGGGGAAGGGAUCUUGAGUUGGCUUGUUACCUCUGUGUCCUUGCUGGCCUUUGCUGCAGGAUGGCUCUGGUCUAUUCCCUGGGUCCCCUGGGCUGGUGGCCACAGAGGGGUGCCUCCUUCAUCUGGUGUUUUGGAGUUUGUGUUUAAUCCUACCCAUGGUCCUGCUGUUUGCCUCUGGUAGUGGAGUUCUUGCACUCUGUGGCCACCUUAUUCCAACCCCCAGCCCCUGUGUGUCCUCUGGCCUCUCAGUACUACUGUAUCCUCCCAAGGAGUAUGUGGAAACUUCUGGAUUCCGUGUGUACCAAGUGCAGGCCUUGAGAAGCCGGAAGCUCUACUUCAGGGCACCUAGACAACUGUCUCAGACAAAUUAUCCUGUCUGGUAAUGGUACCAUGUUGCAGAGGUUUCAAUAUAAAUUGGAGGGAGAGGAAGGUUGGGAUUCAAAUUCUCAUGGUGUAUUCACAGGAAAGCAAAGAAUAAGUCCUAUUGCUCUGGGGAAUUCCUAGUGUGGGGAGUGUGGGAGGUCAGGGACACACAGAACUGGCUAGUUUCCUUUUUCCAUUUCUUCCUCCUCCAAGCUUCAGAACAACUUUCAACUUUCUCUCUAGGCAGGUGAAAAUCGUGCUUAUGUCAUAUUCUAAAUUCUCUGUACCUGUAAAAUUCCAUAUUGUCGCUCAAAGUAUUGUUUUGCUUACAUAAAGGGAGCUUUUGAAAUUUGGAAAUCCCUUUUUCUCAAAGCUUAGCUUUCAAGAUUAUCAUUUUAUUAAGCACUCAAAAAAGAAAUACUAAUUUGGUGGUAAGUGUUGUGCAAUGACUUCCUUUUUCCAUCACUUAAAGACUGAGAAACAUUGAUUUGAUGGAUGGAAACUAUAGGAAUCAUAAUUUAAACGAAAAGGGAGAUUAUAUCACUUUAACUUAAAAAAUGAUGCCUAUUAGUAUGGUUUGGAGAUUACCCACCCUGCUUAUCUGCUGUCAUUUAGCUACUUAAUUGGAGCUCAGGGACAGCGCUGGGGAAGGAAGGUGUUUUGCUGACUGGCCCAUCAAAGCUGUAACCAUAUUACUAGUUUGUACUGAGCCUGGGAAAGUGGCACUUAGACAAUUCUUAUGUUGAAACUUCCAAAGGUGGGAUUUUUCCUGGGCUGCCUGCCUUUUCUGGUCAGUAUAUCUCAUUAUUACAAGCACCUACGAAUUUCCUUCCUUAUGGAUUCAUAUAAACUCAUUGUAAGCGUUGAUCAGUCUUCUUUGUCUCCUUUUUUAGGAGAUGACCUUCUGCUUGCCUUGCUUGAUUUGAAGACUACAACAAGUUGCAAUUCUGCCGAGCAAAACUGUCUCAGAACUUUAUUGAAUCCGUUUAAUGAAUAUUCAUUGGGCUCCUACUAUGUGGCAAGCCACUGUUCUAGACACUUGCCAUGUGUGUGUUGUAGUGCUAAGUAUGGAGGAGUAGAAAAAGGGAACGUUUGAGAGAAAGGGAAGUAGAAAGACAGGGAUGAUUGCCUUCGAAAAGCACCAAAUACAGCAUACAUCAUCAAAAUCAUACAAAAGAUGUACAUUUCUUUAUUUUCCUCUUUUCCUCUUUGUACAAAGGGUUUGUGAUUAGCAGAAUCUGUUAUAACUGUGUCCAUAUCAGUACCCUCUGGAAAUACAAUGAUCACUCAGGGACUGGAAUAUUACCCUUUUUAAUUCAUAAAAUUAACUAUCAUUUAACUCAGAAUGAAUUUGGGGCCCUGGUGAUAAAGUUCAUUUAUCUUUAAUUGCCCUCCUCUCCGGUCUGACUGAUCUUCUCUGUGUUCUCUACUUUACCAAACCUUAUGCUGAAACAUCUCCCUUCCUCUGACUGUCUCUAACCUGGCAUCCUGCAAACUCAUGGAGUUGUCUUCUUCAUGGAAUUUUCUUUGAGCCUUCUAGCCAAUGCUGACAUGAAUCCUGUGAAUUCCUGUCACAUUUCUAGUUAGCUUCAUAUAGUUGGCCUCAAAACUAGAUUGAGAGCAGGGUCUAUGUCUUAAAUUUCUUUGUAUCUUCCAUAAUGCCUAGAAAAAUGAUAAGCCUGUUGUCGGCCUAAAUAAAUAGUUAGGUGUAUAUUUAUUGGGUACAUUCAGGGAUGAUAUUAAAAUAGUCAAUACGUAGUGUAGCAUGAACACUGGCCAUUGAGAAUACUCCUACCAAUUCACAUUGUCUGAAUAUCAACCAUGCUUUAUAUAUAUGUCUCAGAUGCUCACAAUAUUACAAAGGGUAGAUAUAUUAUCUUCCAUUUCAUAGAUGAGAGAUGAGGGAGCUGACUUUCAGAGAGGUUCCAACUACUUGCUCAGGGCAUGCAACCAAUGGAAGAACCUAGGUCUGUGUCACUCAAAAUCUGUGCUCUUUCCACUCCACUACUACACGGAUUGAUACUUGUUGAUGGAUUGGGUCCUCUCUUCCCUUGGGUUGAGGUGUCCCUAUCAAAGAGGGAGCUGGAUGACUGGCAAGUCUGACUGGAGCACAUGGAUAAUCAGCUCUCUUAGACUAAGCCAUCUCUAUGUGGGGACUUGCAUGGUCAUGAUUAACUGUCAUUUAUGGCCAGUUUACACACUAAUUUGCCUGUGUUACACAGAUUUGGUCAGCAAAGGUUAUUUUUCAAAGCCAAAGGUCCGGUAGCUUGUUGGAUGAUUCACAGUGGGUCCCUUGAAACCUCUCAGUGUUUCAAUUUCAUCUCAUUUUUAAGUGGGAAAAAUUGUACUUGCCUUAAAUUCGUUAUAAUUAAUUUAAAAGUACUUUGAACCUGCAUUUUUUAAUAUGAAAAUAACAUGUCAUUAUUGUCCAAACAUGUAAUUGAUGACUGAGAAAAGAAAGAUAACCUCUUCUCAGUUUGGUCAGUCAACAGUAAGGAGUCAAGUAAAUGACACAUUCUAACACGGGAUAGAGAGCAAUAAGCUCAUCAAUCCAAUUUCCUGUUCCUGAGCACACAGGAACAUUUCGAUUCCUCGUUAGGUUGGAGUCACAUGACAGAGUUCCGGCCAAAAAAAUUAAGACAGAGGGAUAUAAGCCAUUUCUAGUCCCACCACUUAAAAACAUCUUAAAUAAUACUCCAGCUUUCGCUUUCCCUUCCACAGUGAGUUCAGAUGCCACUGGUUUAAGAUUUCAGAAUCACAAAAUGGAAGGAGUUUGGGUUCCUGAGUCACCAGUUGGAAGAGAGCCUCCAAGGAGGGCUGCCAGACUUGCACUGGACAGUGACAUGAGGGAGAAAUAAACCUACAUGUGAGAUCCCUGAGAUUGUUGUUAUGGCAAUGGUAUUUAUUGCUCUAAUGCAAAAAUGGGUACCAGAAGUGGGAUAGUAACAUAACCAAAUCAUAUUCUUUGACUGUUAAGCUAUCCUAAAUGUGUAUUAUUGAUUUGGUGGUUCAGCAACAGGCCAAAAGGAAACUAAUACCAGAAAAAGGAAAGAUGGAAAUUUAGGUUACGCAGUGACCAAACAUUUGGUAUAACUGAGCCUGCUAUCAAUUAGAAGGCAGUGAUGUGCACAGUUUAUAUCUUUAGGGGAAGUGGUUAGAAAACAGAAUUUUAGCAGUGUUUUUGGCUAAUCUAGAUACGUAUUGCAAGAAAGAGAUGACUCAGGAAAGAAUUCAUGAGUUUGCAAGCAGAAAUAGAACACAGAGUUCAGAAAUUUGGGUUAUAGGAUUGGAAAAAAUAAAUUCGACUCAGAUAGCAAGACACGGUACCGAAAAAGGCUUUAAGUGACAAAUAUCCAGUAAAAGUUCUCAACUGAAUCAAGUUAUUUGAGGCAAAAAUCAAACUAGGGGUAUGGACUUCCCACCUAUUGUCUCUGAUAGCCUCAGUGUAUUUAGGUAAUUAAAUUGAGAGAAAGGCACGGUGGUGAAUAGGCAAAGAAAAAAGGUAUAUUUGAUAAUAAUGUCUAAAAAAUAACUAUAAGAGUGGUUACAGGCACAUGAACCUGUUUGGAAGCAAAUAUAUCACAUGCCUUCUAAGUUUUUGAGAAUCACACUGCCAAAGAAACCAGGGGCCUGGACUUGAAAAGUCUUUGUUUAUUCAAGGCUUGAAACCAUUCUUAAGUUCCCAACCCAUUCUAGACUGAGCAGAGGUGAAGCUUUUAGAGCUCACUGUUCUGAAGGAAGGGUAUUCCACCAAACCCUCUUUACUUGUGGCCAAGGAGAAGAAGAAAUAAGGGAGUCUGUUGGAGAGGCAACUCCACAUGCAUCCACCAUGCCCAGAAGGUAUGGGCUUCACAGUGCUGACUCAGAGCAGUCUCAGCUUGGCUGUGGGCUGUGAUGCUGCAUAUUGUCUAUUAUUUCUCUUUUCAAAUGGCGUUAUUUUCCUGCCCCUUUUCUGCCAUUAUAAAUGGGUUGUGAUGGUGGGGAAGUAGGGUGCAGAUAACUUGGCCUUUUAAUGUUAGACUAAUGGAGAAGAUGGCGCAUCACCUGGGUAUUCUGGACAUUGAUCUGGAGGUGGUGAUUGGAGGGGACCUUGCAUUGUCUUCCUUAAAAUGAGGUGAGUGUGCUCCAUGAGUGAGAGGAAGAGUAAAAUUGAUACUCGGCAUCCAGAAGGGCAGAGAAUGGCCAGAAACUUUUAAUGUUCACCAUUUUGGAGUCUCUUCUUGGACACAUGGGAAGAUUACAUCUCCCAGGCCACGCUGUAGUUAGAUGGGCCCUGUGCUCCUCAGCUCUGGCCAAAGGAAUAUGAGCAGAAGUGAUGACUACUACUUCGAGGCCAACUGGAUUAAAACCUGGUAUAUCUUCUUUACAUUUUCUCCCAUCUAAAUAGCCGGAAGCAAAGACUCUAAGAUGAAAGAGCCACAUGAGGGAAGGAGCCUCGACCUACACCAGAGGUUCAUAAAGUGACAACACAGAUUUGAUCCUUUCUCUCCAGAAGGUCUCAGUCCAGGGGAACGUGGGUAGCCGAUUAAGCACUGAUCAGAUGAAGCAUUUGGAGCACAGAGAGGUUGAAGACUGUCAUUGCCACACCUUGUUAAAUAGUGAAGCUGAGAUUCAAAUACAGAUCUCUCUGAUGAGAAAUUCCUCAGGGAAACAAAUAGACUUGAAAACAAAGACGUCUAUUAAGGUGCUGUGAUAGAAGUCUAUACAAGAGUGCGAAGGAGAAAGUCUUAGGGACACAACUGUGAUUGUUUCUCUGUGUGUCUGUGUGUGUGAGAUAGAGAGAGAGUAUGAACUGAGGAAGAAGAGAUUGAAGAUUCCAAAAUGCUGGGGAGGUUUUGGUGGAGAGAAAGUCCCAGAGGCUUGGAAUCCAAAUACAGAUGGAGGUAUGGGGCUUGGGGAGGAGUAAGGACAGGACAUUGGGAAAUUUGAGGUGUCUGAAGUGGCCAUGUCUGAUGACCUCAAAUGCUCACAGUCGUAAAAUGACAUUUUCUGAGAGAGAGUCCUGGAAGGGCUGCUAGUUGAGGAGAGUGGGUAGUAUUGUGGGAGUCAACAAGAGAUGAAUAAAGGAUUCACUGGGAACGGGAGGGUCAAGGGAUGAGCAGAAAAUUCAAGAGGAACCCUCUCCGUGCUCUCAGGGGGUUUUCAGGCCUCAUCUUCCCCUAUGCUGUGCACGAAGGACAGCACGCUGCUGACCGUUAAUUAUCAUCCACACUUGAAUUCCUCAUCCAAACCUCACAAAUAUUUGGCAACUGUCUAGAAUUUCAAUGUGAAGAAAUUAGGAAGCGGAGAGGCUUAUGCCCUGACUCUGAUAGGUCUUUGUCUGGUUUUCAGAGGCAUCGCUGAAUCUGUUCUUUCUCCAGCUGAUGGAAGCACGAGAUGGAUCUACAUCACGAGUAGAUCCAUCUCCAACAAGCAACAUCCUUGGUCUUCCUUUGCUAAAAAGCUUAUAUUAUUUUGCAUAUAAUAUGUCCAUUAAAAGUUUUUUGCUUUCUAUUGGCAUGGUGAAAAUGCAGUCCUGCUAAGGAGAAUCCUAUGUGCCUACUAAGUGGGUUGUGAGGUUGGAGCUGUGUGAGAAGAUCUAUGCCAAAUAAAAUUUAUUAUAAUGACUUUGGUCUGUGUCAUCAGUCUUAGAUAAUUGUACCGCAGCAGACAUGACUUUCUUCCAGAGGCAGACUGCUAGAAUGCAUGACAUAAUAAUGCCGUGAUUAAUCAGACCUAGCCCUCACUAGAGGGUCAAGAGAUACAAAUUCACAGGCAGCUAUAACUACCGGAAAAUGAUACAUCAACACAGCAUUUCAGGCCGGGCAUCAAUCCUAAAAUGUAUCGUUAGAAAUAACACCCAAC
RNAcentral lists this long non-coding RNA (9877 nucleotides) under Equus caballus (horse). RNAcentral describes it as "lncRNA (ENSECAG00000032879.3)". Lineage: Eukaryota; Metazoa; Chordata; Mammalia; Perissodactyla; Equidae. The record is from RNAcentral.